AGCUCCAAUAGCGUAUAUUAAAGUUGUUGCAGUUAAAAAGCUCGUAGUUGGAUUUCGGAAUGGGCCAGUUGGUCCGCCGCAAGGUGAGUUACUGACUGGUCUGUUCUUCUUCGCAAAGACUGCGUGUGCCCUUUACUGAGUGUGCGUAGGAUUUACGACGUUUACUUUGAAAAAAUUAGAGUGUUCAAAGCAGGCUAUCGCUUGAAUACAUGAGCAUGGAAUAAUGGAAUAGGACUUUGGUCUUAUUUUGUUGGUUUCUGAGACCGAAGUAAUGAUUAAGAGGGACAAUUGGGGGCAUCCGUAUUUCGUUGUCAGAGGUGAAAUUCUUGGAUUUACGAAAGACGAACAACUGCGAAAGCACUUGCCAAGAGUGUUUUCA
This 379-nucleotide ribosomal RNA is filed under the name uncultured eukaryote. Its description in RNAcentral is "SSU rRNA". It matches the Rfam family "Eukaryotic small subunit ribosomal RNA", at positions 587 to 972 of the family's 1831-position model. The record is from RNAcentral.